GGAGUAUGUGGUUUAAUUCGACGCAACGCGAAGAACCUUACCAGGGCUUGACAUCCUCUGACGACAGCAGAGAUGCUGUUUUCCCUUCGGGGACAGAGAGACAGGUGGUGCAUGGUUGUCGUCAGCUCGUGUCGUGAGAUGUUGGGUUAAGUCCCGCAACGAGCGCAACCCCUAUGGUCAGUUGCCAGCACAUGAAGGUGGGCACUCUGGCGAGACUGCCGUUGACAAAACGGAGGAAGGUGGGGACGACGUCAAAUCAUCAUGCCCCUUAUGUCCUGGGCUACACACGUACUACAAUGGCAACAACAGAGGGCAGCCAUGCCGCGAGGCAGAGCGAAUCCCAAAAUGUUGUCUCAGUUCAGAUUGCAGGCUGCAACUCGCCUGCAUGAAGUCGGAAUUGCUAGUAAUGGCAGGUCAGCAUACUGCCGUCGAAUACGUUCCGGGCCUU
This 448-nucleotide ribosomal RNA is filed under the name uncultured Fastidiosipila sp. RNAcentral describes it as "bacterial SSU rRNA". It matches the Rfam family "Bacterial small subunit ribosomal RNA", at positions 934 to 1382 of the family's 1533-position model. The record is from RNAcentral. Lineage: Bacteria; Bacillati; Bacillota; Clostridia; Eubacteriales; Oscillospiraceae.